CUUCAACAAAAUGUGGUAAGUUUUUAAUAUUUGUACACUUAUAAAUUUCUAAAUAUAAAUUUCUUUGUAGAAUUCCCAUCACGUUGCUGCUAUAGCAAACAAUCCGCAGUCGCAGCCCCUCGACCUCUGUGUGAAAAAUGAAGUUUCGCCGUCCACUAGCCGUCAGCUUCAAGGAGAGCAAUCUCAGCCCCUUGAUCUCACUGUAAAACAUCCACCGUUGCCAUCUGCCCCUGGCGACUACAAACCCCAAUCGCAACCCCUCGAUCUCUGUGUGAAACAUCCACCGCAACCUUCAACUUCCGGCGCAAAGCCUAAGCGAAAGCAUGCUGCUCCGUGUGUAAAUAAUAUUCUUAACCCUCAACCAUCAACAUCGAGACUACAACCAACCGCACCUAUAGUGCCCUGUGUA
This is a long non-coding RNA of Photinus pyralis (common eastern firefly), 409 nucleotides long. RefSeq lists it as uncharacterized. NCBI's taxonomy places the organism in Eukaryota, Metazoa, Arthropoda, Insecta, Coleoptera, Lampyridae. The transcript is spliced from 5 exons. The record is from RefSeq and is a predicted model, not a curated record.